This 170-nucleotide ribosomal RNA is filed under the name Osteomugil perusii (longfinned mullet). RNAcentral's name for it is "Moolgarda perusii (longfinned mullet) partial 12S rRNA". Lineage: Eukaryota; Metazoa; Chordata; Actinopteri; Mugiliformes; Mugilidae. The record is from RNAcentral.
CACCGCGGUUAUACGAAAGGCCCAAGUUGAUAGUUCUCGGCGUAAAGGGUGGUUAAGUUAUUCUAACUAUACUAAAGCCGAAUACCUCCAAAACUGUAAUACGUUCUCGGAGAAACGAAGCCCAACUACGAAAGUGGCUUUAAAAACCUGACCCCACGAAAGCUGAGAAA